This is a non-coding RNA of Drosophila melanogaster (fruit fly), 2873 nucleotides long. The record is from Ensembl. Lineage: Eukaryota; Metazoa; Arthropoda; Insecta; Diptera; Drosophilidae.
AGAGAUUUUCAUACAAAAAUUAUUACAAAAUACAAAUUAUUUAAAUCAGACGUGUAAAGUAGCAAGAGAAAAGAAUCUCAUUUUGCACAUAAAUAAAUAAUAAAUAGGCGAUUUAUUUGCAUAGUUACUUUUUCGAGGCGAAACACAUAAAGUAAAGGAAAACUUCUGGCCAGUUUCUUCUGCGAAUUUCGUUUGCAUAAAUCAAUUAUGCAUCUGUGGGACACUUUUCUCCGCAGACAUUUCAAUUCAAUUGAAAUCUAAUUUGUGCUCUAAUUUUAGGCAUUUUCUUUCCCCGAAGACAAACUGCCAAAUCGUUUUCUUUUUUCCUGGCGGAAAAUUGUCGCACACCAUCUCGUUCGCACUCGCACGUUGAUUCGGUCACGUCGCCGGUGCAAAGGAAACUCUGGCCGCUAGGUGGCGCCACGCAUGCCGUUUUGUAUCUCGUUUUUUGAUUUUCGUUCAGCAGAUAAAUACAUUUUGCAGCUAGUUACUUUUCAGUUGAAAAUUAAUGGCGAAAGAAGUGAAUAUUAUUUAUUUUAUACAAAAUAAGACUUGCAUUGUAUCUUAAUCAAAUCAAUUUGGUAUUAAGCAAAUUCUGUUUAUAUGAAAUUUAUCUUACGUUAACUUUUUUCUAUUUACCUAAUACAUCAAAAUAGAUUUCUUCAUUUUGAUUUCGUUAAUAUCAACAUCUCCCAUUUACGAACAGUGCAUAUCCGACCACGUCAGCGAUUUUUAUCUGCAAAAUGCGAAUGAUUUUCGCUUUUCAAUUGCAAAUCGUCGUUAUCGCAGUGGAUCGAUCAAACACCUUUAUCAAAUUAGCUUAUCGCCAUUUGUUUUCCAUUUCCAUUUGGCUGUCUGUCAUAAAUUACUUGCCAAAUUCCUUGGCAUUAACUUUGGCCGACAGCCCGGAAACAUAACUGUGUACAUACUUACAUAUGUAUGUAUGUAUAUGUAUCUGCAGCUAAAUCUGAAUCUGAAGACUUCCCGGGCACAAUGAACUUCCCGAAUUUCUGCUCGUCAUAACUUUUCUACUUCUAUGUUGCUUUUUUUUUCUCGAGCAUUCCGCGAAAGUUGAUCUCCCUGCGUUAGAUAGAUGGAUAAAUGGAUAAUUUGCUCAGCGUUUCAUGUUUUCCUCUUGUAUUUUUCACCUGCUCGUUUCGGCGAAACAUUUUGGCAGGGCCUCCCCCUCCUGGAAAAAGCAAAAAAAGAAAAAACAAAAACAAAAUCAACUUGUUCUUGAUAAUUUUCUUGGGUUCUGCACACGUUCAACGAUUUUCCCCGCACUCUCUUUUCUCUUAUUUUUUUUUUUAAUGAAAAUUUAUGCAUACAUAUGGAUAUGGGUGUGUGCCGGUGUGAAAAUGUGUUGUGUUUAGUAAAACUAAUUUAAAUUUACAAAUUGCCUUCGAGGGGGCCACAAGAGCGAAAGCCAAAGCCAAAGCGUAAACUUUGUGAAAAUUGCUUUCCCGGAAAAGCGGAGAACACACCGAGGGAAAGUUCUCUAUACAUAUGUGCUGCUACGGCUGGCCAUGUAUCGCAAAGUCACAAAGGAAACAGUUGGGAAAGUGGAUUUCAAUCUCACAGUUGAUUGAUUUACCUUGCGAAAUUGUUCAAAUUUAAAUUUUCUACAUUAAAGUCAUUUGUGUACUGUUUAUGAAUAAUGGGAUGGGGAAAACAAAUUGCAAUUGAGUAAACGAAAUAAGAUACUUAACUCAAUUGAAAGUGGGCGAUACUAUAAAGUGAAUUAAAUAAACCUAAUUAGUAGAGGUUUAUAUUUUCUAAAUUACUAACUAUAUUUUCUACAUCUUUUUUUUUGUUGUUGAAAUUAUAGAAAUGACUAAACAAAAGGCGUCACCAGCUAUCUAUUGGCGAAAAUAAGCAAGCAUAUGCCCUAUAAGCCAAUUUAUACCCGUAUAUAUCUGGGUGUUGGCCAUAAAUUUCGCUGAUCAUUAACCCAUGAAAGUCGUCUGUUGGCCGACCUGAAUCACAGUUCUUUGUUGUUUAUUUUUUGAGAGGCUCGUUUUGGCAGUUUGUGGAUUGCCUGUUUCUAAUCAGCUUGUGGGGGAGGCGGCGGCGGCUGGGGGUCGCAUUUCAAAGAUUGCGAAAUUUCAAAGAGUGCUCAGGUUUAUCAAUGAAUUUCAGUUUCAGUUCGGUUCACUUCGCAAUGUGACAAAGUCAGGGGCCAAAAGUCAAACAAAAGAAGUUCUCGUUUCAAUUCAUUUAUUAUCUGACAAAACACAUCUACAUAAAGCUAAUGUGGCACGAAAGAUAUCCCAAAGAUACACAGAUACAAGCACAUAUGCGUGCCUCAUGGAAUUUCAUUUCAAUCUGAAAGAAAUUUGAUUUUAUUUAUUUGAGCCAGCAUCACCAGAAGACAAGUUGGAUUUCAGCUUUUCUUCUUGAGUUCCUUUAUUUUUUUUUCGGGUGGGCAGGGCAUUCAUGAGAUACAUUUCAAUCUUUCGUUUUCAAUCUACGUGCAGCAUUUUCAGCUUUGGUCAGCAAACAACAAUGCCGGCUAAAAGCGAAGAAAAAAAUAAAAUCACCAUCAAGAUGAAGAUGGCAGGAAAAUGCAUUCAAUUGAAAGGAAAGGACACACAGCCAUGGAUCAUGAUAUGAAUAUGAAAUUAUGCCACAUCUCACAUUUUCAUUUGCUGAUGAAAUUCUCCAUGAAUUCAUAAGAACAGCUCCUCGAAAUAAACGGAUGUGCGAGUUUCAUAUCAAAGAGCGAGCAUAAAAUUGAAAUUAUGAUGAAAUUCGUCACUGGAUCGAAAGAAGAUGUUUAUAGAUUUAACACGUUACUUGUGGCAAAAUGAAAGUUCCUGGAAAAUUAUUUUAUAUACGGAAAAUUUGCAUAUUUGGAACAAAGUGGAAUGUAU